UAGAAACUCCUCUGCUUUGUUAACAAGUGAACAAAAAUUGCAUAUACCUUUAAAAAAAAAAGUACCUUACCAACAUUGUCUUUAUUUCAUACACCGGAUACAUCCAAAGUUUGCUAUUUAUAGUUUAUUUCAGCCAAUGAACUAUAUAGCUUUUUAAAAGCUCCUACCAUCUCACUUUGUCCAUUAGUCUCUCUGGUCAAAUGUUUGGACAUGUUAUUUCUCCCACACACAUUCUCGGAUCAAGUUGCAAACUCAAAAUCAACAAAAUUACCAUACGAAAAAUUCACAAAAUAAUUGUAACUUAUAAUCUAUU
Biomphalaria pfeifferi is the source of this 313-nucleotide non-coding RNA. The record is from the annotation of a GenBank genome assembly. NCBI's taxonomy places the organism in Eukaryota, Metazoa, Mollusca, Gastropoda, Planorbidae.